ACGGGAGGCAGCAGUGAGGAAUAUUGGUCAAUGGACGGAAGUCUGAACCAGCCAUGCCGCGUGCAGGAAUAAGGCCCUAUGGGUCGUAAACUGCUUUUGUGGUGGAGCAAUAAGGCGUACGCGUACGCCGAUGAGAGUACAUCACGAAUAAGCAUCGGCUAACUCCGUGCCAGCAGCCGCGGUAAUACGGAGGAUGCAAGCGUUAUCCGGAUUUAUUGGGUUUAAAGGGUGCGUAGGCUGUUGUGCAAGUCAGCGGUGAAAGCCUGGAGCUCAACUCCGGAACUGCCGUUGAUACUGUACAGCUGGAAUGCGGAUGCCGUGGGAGGAAUGAGUAGUGUAGCGGUGAAAUGCAUAGAUAUUACUCAGAACACCGAUUGCGAAGGCAUCUCACGAAUCCGUUAUUGACGCUGAGGCACGAAAGCGUGGGGAUCAAACAGGAUUAGAUACCCUGGUA
This 454-nucleotide ribosomal RNA is filed under the name uncultured bacterium. RNAcentral's name for it is "partial 16S ribosomal RNA". It matches the Rfam family "Bacterial small subunit ribosomal RNA", at positions 341 to 792 of the family's 1533-position model. The record is from RNAcentral.